CCUACGGGAGGCAGCAGUGAGGAAUAUUGGUCAAUGGGCGAGAGCCUGAACCAGCCAAGUAGCGUGAAGGAUGACUGCCCUAUGGGUUGUAAACUUCUUUUAUAUGGGAAUAAAGUGAGCCACGUGUGGCUUUUUGUAUGUACCAUACGAAUAAGGAUCGGCUAACUCCGUGCCAGCAGCCGCGGUAAUACGGAGGAUCCAAGCGUUAUCCGGAUUUAUUGGGUUUAAAGGGAGCGUAGGCGGACUAUUAAGUCAGCUGUGAAAGUUUGCGGCUCAACCGUAAAAUUGCAGUUGAUACUGGUCGUCUUGAGUGCAGUAGAGGUAGGCGGAAUUCGUGGUGUAGCGGUGAAAUGCUUAGAUAUCACGAAGAACUCCGAUUGCGAAGGCAGCUUACUGGACUGUAACUGACGCUGAUGCUCGAAAGUGUGGGUAUCAAACA
Molecule: ribosomal RNA, 439 nt
Filed under: uncultured Bacteroides sp.
Lineage: Bacteria; Pseudomonadati; Bacteroidota; Bacteroidia; Bacteroidales; Bacteroidaceae
Description: bacterial SSU rRNA
Rfam family: Bacterial small subunit ribosomal RNA
Source: RNAcentral